This 828-nucleotide long non-coding RNA is filed under the name Physcomitrium patens. RNAcentral describes it as "long non-coding RNA (PPAT_LNC014449)". The record is from RNAcentral. Lineage: Eukaryota; Viridiplantae; Streptophyta; Bryopsida; Funariales; Funariaceae.
UUGGUUAGAAUUUGGUUUAGGAUUUUUUUAUUGUUUGGUUUAGGAUUUAGGAUUUGAUUAGGGUUUAAUUUAGGAAUUAAAGUUUGAUUAGAAUUUGGUUUAGGGUUUAGGAUUUGGUUUAGGAUUUGGUUGAGAUAUGGUUUAAGGUUUGUUUAGGAUUUAGUUAGGAUUUGGUUAGGGUUUGAUUUAGGAUUUAAAGUUUGGUUAGGAUUUUAUUUAGGGUUUAGGAUUUGGUUAGGGUUUCAUUUAGAGUUUAGGAUUUGGUUAGGAUUUGGUUUAAGGUUUAGGAUUUGAUUAAGGAUUUAGGAUUUGAUUUAGGAUUUAGGAUUUUAUUAGGAUUUGGUUAGAAUUUAAGAUUUAAUUAGUUUUAUCUAAAGUUUGAAUGAAGUGUAAUAGGAUUUUAACUAGAAUUAAAUUAAAAUUGAAUUGAGAUGUAUUUGAGAUAUAUUUGUGAUCAUUCUAAUAUUUUUUUAAGAUUUCUUAUUAUUUCUUUGAAAUUUCUUUGAGUUUUCUUUGAAUUUGAUUAAAGCUUGCCUAGCAUUAUUAUGGUCUAAUUAGAGUUUAGUUAGUAUUCUAUUAGAGUUAGGAUUUUUUGUUACAAUUUCCAUUCUACCUUCCAUAGUCAAGUACCUGGAGCAUUCUCAAGCAAGACUUCGCAUAUUACGACAAUGUAUUGAGUGAGAUGUGUGAAAAAGAAACCUUGAGAUUGAUAGACACCUAUAUCUUAAAAGAAAGUUUUAAGGUAACAAAGCUAAAGUAUGAUGUUAUCUUUGGUAUACUAUAGAUGGAAAAUAAGCAAGUUGAUUGAAUAGAAAGAACAAUCUCUUU